Molecule: long non-coding RNA, 373 nt
Filed under: Struthio camelus australis
Lineage: Eukaryota; Metazoa; Chordata; Aves; Struthioniformes; Struthionidae
Description: lncRNA (ENSSCUG00000011502.1)
Source: RNAcentral
AGCUGUAUAUUUAAUCUUACCAAAGACCAAGAUUCUCUCACCUAUUUUCUCUGAAAUGAAUAAGGAGACACGCAGCCCCAUUUAUACAAGGAGCAGCAAUUCCCAGAGAAAAUAACGUUUAAGAUGAUGCACGUAAUUGACAAAAAUAAAGAAUUGGGACCUAGUCUGUUGUUCCUAAUCUGGUCAGAGAUUGAGUAUGACAAAGGGGAGCUGUAAACUAUGAAUGCAAUUCACCAAAGGAGCAGUUUAUGUCUACUACUGAAAACAUUCUCUCAGUCUCCACUUCUGCCAUUGACCAAGGAAAAGAAAACAUGAGAUGGAAUGUACCAAAAACAUGAAUAAAGGAAGAGGAACUGAUUAGCCUGUUGCGAAA